RNAcentral lists this long non-coding RNA (1733 nucleotides) under Homo sapiens (human). Its description in RNAcentral is "HSALNT0208921". Lineage: Eukaryota; Metazoa; Chordata; Mammalia; Primates; Hominidae. The record is from RNAcentral.
AAAAAGGAGCCAACAUUGCAGCUAGCCUUGGGAAAAUCUCCACAGAUGAGCAUUUUUGUUGCGUUAAGUGGCCGGCAUUAGCAGCCUAAACACGUAGGGGAAGGCUAACAUCGCCGUUAAUAUAAUGCGGGAGAGGAAUGAUAGACCUGGGAGUAGAGAGUGGAAGCGCUAGUUUUGCAUAAAACAAAACAAAACAUUUCUGAGGACUUAAGCUCCUAGGGGGUUGGGUGGAGUGAAUUUAGGGAGCGCCUCAAUCCAUAGAGGAAGCAUGCACCGGGGCAUCAGUUUCAGAGGCUUAUUUUAAAAAUAUAUAUUUAUUUCAGCUGCCUUAAAAAAUAAUUUCACAGUCAGAAAAAUAGCUUCUUAGACCAUGGUUCUGAGGUCGUCUCUGGGAGGGAGAAGAAUCACCUCCGAGAUGUCUUUCAAACUCCAGCAUUGAGACUAAGAAUUGACAAGAAAUCCUCAACUUGAACAAUAUUCUAAGUGCCCUAAAGCAAUUAAAACAAAACUUUGGAGGAGUGGGGCGGGGAGACAUUCCUGGAGGGCCAGAGCGGGGAUCGCAGCAGAAUCUGCAGCACUGGUGUUAAGGAGAAUUUGAGCGCUCGAAUGCUGUUGUUAAAUUUCUUCCCAGAGCCCCAUGCUCCCUCGUUUAGCAUCUCCCUUCCCCAAUAAUUACUUGAGAGGAUGAGCUCGAGAUUGAAGAGUGAGGUUGGCUUUUCUGUGUGAGGAGCCGAUAGGAUCCACCAACACUAAAAUCAAAAAGACUCCUGGUGCUUGCGAGUACAACCCCAAAUUCUCUCGCACACUGCCCAAGUUUCUUGAAACUCGGAGGCUCAGCUCAGUGUAAAAACAUGGGGGUUCUCCUGAGUCGGUUUCCCUGACCACAGGGGGACCCCUGCAAACACGGCCUCCUCUUUAAUACCUUUGUAACUCAGUUCUUCAAGCAACCCACCUAGGAGAAUAAAAGGACCCACUGAGCUCCAAUAACUGAGUAGAUGAUUAAAUAAAGCCGAGAUCUCAGAUCUUCGCGUUUGGGGUGGGGAGUGGGGGCGCUGGGGAAAAGUCGGGAAUAGCCCCGCGGUACCUGGGGAUCCCAGUUGUUUUUUCUAAGAAAGCCCGGGGUUAAAAAAUGCAUUGGAAUGUGGCGAUGCCUCCAUCAGCCGUCACUUUAUAAGUUCCCAAGUCACGCUGCUCUAGACCAUUGUGGAUGAAAGUGGAUUGUCUCUCCAGAACCAAAUAUUCCCUGACCUGCUUCCCCAACGCGCCCUCACGCUUUCCUGGGAGAGCACAGCGCUGCCGGAGACGCGGCGCUUCUGUCAAUUGUGCAGAGCAAUUACUAAGAAAAUAUUGUGACGAUGUUGUAGGGCGAAAGGGGACGUGAGGAGGAAAGGGAGGGGGAGUUAGUUUGGAGAGCAAUUUGCAAAGGAAUAUUAACUUUGAUUCCCGAGGUCACCGCGGGAAAAGGGGUUCUGGGCUGCAGAGCUCUUCCUCUAGGUGGCGGACUUUGGCACCAAACAACCGCUAGAUGAGCGCUGACUUCAAACACAGGAUUAAGCUUCUUGCUGGUUAAAAAUAAUAACAGUAAUAAUAUAGAGGUGUGGGGCUGUUUUUUCCCCCUUUUGGAUAUUUAUUUAUUGCAGGGAAAAGUCAUUGAUUUUCCUAAGCAAACUGUGUUUCUCCUUCACUUGGUGGAAAAUAAAAACUGUUUGAAUAAAUAAGUUAUUUCUGAACAU